Molecule: ribosomal RNA, 280 nt
Filed under: uncultured bacterium
Lineage: Bacteria
Description: partial 16S ribosomal RNA
Rfam family: Bacterial small subunit ribosomal RNA
Source: RNAcentral
UGCCAGCCGCCGCGGUAAUACGGAGGGGGUUAGCGUUAUUCAAAAUGAUUGGGCGUAAAGCGCACGUAGGUGGUGAUAUGUAUCCAUAAUUAUUCAGGCUACAAGUCUUGUCGAUAUUUAUGAUGUAUAUGUAUUUCUUGAGGGUGUGAGAGGAGCAUGGAAUUUCCUAGGAAGCGGUAGAAUGUGUUGAUCUAGGAAGGAACACCAAUAGCGAAAGCAGUGCUCUGGCACAUUCCUGACAUUGAGGUGCGAAAGCGUGGGGAUCAAAAGGGAUUAGAUA